Molecule: ribosomal RNA, 161 nt
Filed under: Bacillus altitudinis
Lineage: Bacteria; Bacillati; Bacillota; Bacilli; Caryophanales; Bacillaceae
Description: 23S rRNA. Bacterial LSU
Rfam family: Bacterial large subunit ribosomal RNA
Source: RNAcentral
AAGUGCUGAAAGCAUCUAAGCAUGAAGCCCCCCUCAAGAUGAGAUUUCCCAUUCCGCAAGGAAGUAAGAUCCCUGAAAGAUGAUCAGGUUGAUAGGUCUGAGGUGGAAGCGUGGUGACACGUGGAGCUGACAGAUACUAAUAGAUCGAGGACUUAACCUAU